RNAcentral lists this ribosomal RNA (405 nucleotides) under Triticum aestivum (bread wheat). Its description in RNAcentral is "partial small subunit ribosomal RNA". Lineage: Eukaryota; Viridiplantae; Streptophyta; Magnoliopsida; Poales; Poaceae. The record is from RNAcentral.
AUGGCCUACAUGACAACUCUUCACACACUUCUCGCUGUGGUAUCUGUUCACCACUGGUUUGUAUCUCGGCUUGAUGUCAGGAAUGCUCUUAAUGGCGAGCUGCAUAAGUUCCCAAGAGAGUACAUUCAGGAUCUUCUUGCUCGUGUUGCUCUUACUGAUGAGGUCACUAUUGACACUCCUAUGGAACUCGACAUCCAUCUUUGUGCUUCUAACGUAAAAGAGAGCAGGAGCGGGAGAAUGGGAUUUUAUCGGAAUGAACAAGGGGGUUUUGCUUGCCUGGCACUUCUGAAGAUAACAUUGAGUCUUCAUCAGUGUCAACGAUCACAUCAUCGGUACAGCGUCUACCGAGGGGGAACAACACCGGCAAACACAGAAGAAACACGAUCAAUGCAAUGCACAAUAUGA